Molecule: ribosomal RNA, 962 nt
Filed under: Typhula sclerotioides
Lineage: Eukaryota; Fungi; Basidiomycota; Agaricomycetes; Agaricales; Typhulaceae
Description: LSU rRNA
Rfam family: Eukaryotic large subunit ribosomal RNA
Source: RNAcentral
UAGCAUAUCAAUAAGCGGAGGAAAAGAAACUAACAAGGAUUCCCCUUAGUAACUGCGUAAGUGAAGCGGGAAAAAGCUCAAAUUUAAAAUCUGGCGGUCCUCGCGGCCGUCCGAGUUGUAAUCUGGAGAAAGUGUUUUCCGUGCUGGACCGUGUACAAGUCUCCUGGAACGGAGCGUCAUAGAGGGUGAGAAAUCCCGUCUUUGACACGGACUGCCAGUACUUAUGUGAUACGCUCUCAACGAGUCGAGUUGUUUGGGAAUGCAGCUCAAAAUGGGUGGUAAAUUCCAUCUAAAGCUAAAUAUUGGCGAGAGACCGAUAGCGAACAAGUACCGUGAGGGAAAGAUGAAAAGAACUUUGGAAAGAGAGUUAAACAGUACGUGAAAUUGUUGAAAGGGAAACGCUUGAAGUCAGUCGCGUCUUCCGGGAAUCAACCUUGCAUUCGUGCUUGGCGCACUUCCCGGUCGACGGGUCAACAUCAAUUUUGACCGGCGGAUAAAGGCGUGAGGAAUGUGGCAACUUCGGUUGUGUUAUAGCCUUGCGUCGCAUACGUCGGUUGGGAUUGAGGAACUCAGUACGCCUUUAUGGUCGGGGUUUACCCACGUAACGUACUUAGGAUGUUGGCAUAAUGGCUUUAAUCGACCCGUCUUGAAACACGGACCAAGGAGUCUAACAUGCCCGCGAGUGUUUGGGUGGAAAACCCGAGCGCGAAAUGAAAGUGAAAGUUGAGAUCCCUGUCGUGGGGUGCAUCGACGCCCGGACCAGACCUUCUGUGACGGUUCCGCGGUAGAGCGUGUAUGUUGGGACCCGAAAGAUGGUGAACUAUGCCUGAAUAGGGUGAAGCCAGAGGAAACUUCUGGUGGAGGCUUCGUAGCGAUUUCUGACGUGCAAAUCGAUUCGUCGAAAUUUGGGUAAUAGGGGGCGAAAGACUAAUCGAACCAUCUAGUAGCUGGGUUCCUGCCGA